RNAcentral lists this ribosomal RNA (441 nucleotides) under Triticum aestivum (bread wheat). Its description in RNAcentral is "partial small subunit ribosomal RNA". The record is from RNAcentral. Lineage: Eukaryota; Viridiplantae; Streptophyta; Magnoliopsida; Poales; Poaceae.
AUGGCAGAUGCUGAGGAAGAGGAUGAGGUUGAUGUGGAAGAGGAACAGGAGGAAGAUGUUGUGGAAGAGGAACAUGAUGAAUAUGCACAGUCAGAUGUAGAUGAUGGCAGUCUUUCUCAUGCUGGAAGAGGAGUUAGUGAUUCAGAAAAUGGGGAUGAAAUUGUGGACAGUGAUUAUGCUAUAUCUGAUGGAGAUGUAGAUCUUCUAGAAGAUCAAAUAGAAGAGGUGGUAAUAGAUGUAAAAGGAAAGAAAGCUGCAGAUAUUGGAGCUUCUUCUGAUGAGGAAGAUCUUCAGAUGCCAGAUUCUGAUGAGGAUGAGCUGAAGCACAACUUCAAUACAUUCAGGCCAGAAGAUAUGCAUGAUCCUAUGUUCAAAGUUGGACAGUUAUUCCAGUCACCAGAGAUGUUAAGGAAAGCCAUUAGGGAAUAUUUAAAUUGUUAG